GUCUAUGGCCAUACCACCCUGAAUACGCCCAGUCUCAUCUGAUCUCGGAAGCUAAGCAGGGUUGGGCCUGGAUGGGAGAAGUGCUUGUUUUUCAGACUACAGGACAGUGGGUA
Molecule: ribosomal RNA, 113 nt
Organism: Myotis lucifugus (little brown bat)
Lineage: Eukaryota; Metazoa; Chordata; Mammalia; Chiroptera; Vespertilionidae
Source: Ensembl